AACCCAUGGUGAGGGCACCUUCUUAGUAAGUCCUUAUAUCUCUCCCAUGCAUCGUAAAGUGUUUCUAAAUCCAUCUGCACAAAAGAAGAGGUAUCAUUACGUAAUUU
Gossypium arboreum is the source of this 107-nucleotide non-coding RNA. The record is from Rfam. Lineage: Eukaryota; Viridiplantae; Streptophyta; Magnoliopsida; Malvales; Malvaceae.